GGAUGCGAUCAUACCAGCACUAAAGCACCGGAUCCCAUCAGAACUCCGAAGUUAAGCUUGCUUGGGCGAGAGUAGUACUAGGAUGGGUGACCUCUUGGGAAGUCCUCGUGUUGCAUUCC
RNAcentral lists this ribosomal RNA (119 nucleotides) under Aegilops tauschii subsp. strangulata. Lineage: Eukaryota; Viridiplantae; Streptophyta; Magnoliopsida; Poales; Poaceae. The record is from RNAcentral.